CCUACGGGGGGCAGCAGUGAGGAAUAUUGGUCAAUGGACGAGAGUCUGAACCAGCCAAGUAGCGUGAAGGAUGACUGCCCUAUGGGUUGUAAACUUCUUUUAUAUGGGAAUAAAACAGGGUAUGCAUACCCUCUUGUAUGUACCAUAUGAAUAAGGAUCGGCUAACUCCGUGCCAGCAGCCGCGGUAAUACGGAGGAUCCGAGCGUUAUCCGGAUUUAUUGGGUUUAAAGGGAGCGUAGGUGGAUUGUUAAGUCAGUUGUGAAAGUUUGCGGCUCAACCCCGGCGAGCCGUUGAAACUGGCUGUCUUGAGAUGUCGAGAGGUAUGCGGAAUGCGCAGUGUAGCGGUGAAAUGCUUAGAUAUUGCGCAGAACUCCGAUUGCGAAGGCAGCAUACCGGCGGCGAUCUGACGCUGAGGCACGAAAGCGUGGGUAUCGAACAGGAUUAGAUACCCUUGUAGUC
RNAcentral lists this ribosomal RNA (459 nucleotides) under uncultured bacterium. Its description in RNAcentral is "partial 16S ribosomal RNA". It matches the Rfam family "Bacterial small subunit ribosomal RNA", at positions 338 to 795 of the family's 1533-position model. The record is from RNAcentral.